RNAcentral lists this long non-coding RNA (239 nucleotides) under Homo sapiens (human). RNAcentral's name for it is "non-protein coding lnc-FAM71A-1:1". The record is from RNAcentral. Lineage: Eukaryota; Metazoa; Chordata; Mammalia; Primates; Hominidae.
CAACAAUCACAGAGAGACAGUCCACCACCUCUACCCUCUUAACUCUUCCUUAGAAAUCCUACUGUCUGCAGCUGGGAAUGAAUGGAAUGAAGGUCAAGGAUGAAGAUCUCACUCUGUUACCCAGGGUGGAGUGCAGGGGCAUGAACACGGAUCACUGCAGCUUCGACUUCCUGGCUCAAGCAAUCCUUCCACUUCCUGGCUCAAGCAAUCCUUCCACCUCAGCCUCCUAGGUACUGGGA